AUGGCGCUUGCAGUUGCAGGCGAGCACGCCAACUGCUUGAUAAAAUGCCCACUGCACAGAGAGAAUGAGAAGGAAGAAGAAGAUGAGGUGGCAAGUGAGGAGAGAGGGAAAACCCGCCUACACGUGACCGGUUUUGUCAUCUACUCUGGUUUUGGACGAAAUUCGUCCGGUUUUGAGCACGAGGGACAAAUUGUCGCCCAAAACAAGUCCAUGGAUUGGAGGUCGACUUUCAGUAAACUUGAGGGACGUACUGUUUGUGCCACUCAGUACGAUGCUUGGCAAAACACAAUAGCAUUAAGUUGGGGAUUGUUAAGUUGUAAAUAA
This 324-nucleotide ribosomal RNA is filed under the name Triticum aestivum (bread wheat). RNAcentral describes it as "partial small subunit ribosomal RNA". Lineage: Eukaryota; Viridiplantae; Streptophyta; Magnoliopsida; Poales; Poaceae. The record is from RNAcentral.